AUUGAACGCUGGCGGCAGGCCUAACACAUGCAAGUCGAGCGGAUGAAGGGAGCUUGCGCCUGGAUUCAGCGGCGGACGGGUGAGUAAUGCCUAGGAAUCUGCCUGGUAGUGGGGGAUAACGUCCGGAAACGGGCGCUAAUACCGCAUACGUCCUGAGGGAGAAAGUGGGGGAUCUUCGGACCUCACGCUAUCAGAUGAGCCUAGGUCGGAUUAGCUAGUUGGUGGGGUAAAGGCCUACCAAGGCGACGAUCCGUAACUGGUCUGAGAGGAUGAUCAGUCACACUGGAACUGAGACACGGUCCAGACUCCUACGGGAGGCAGCAGUGGGGAAUAUUGGACAAUGGGCGAAAGCCUGAUCCAGCCAUGCCGCGUGUGUGAAGAAGGUCUUCGGAUUGUAAAGCACUUUAAGUUGGGAGGAAGGGCAGUAAGUUAAUACCUUGCUGUUUUGACGGUACCAACAGAAUAAGCACCGGCUAACUUCGUG
RNAcentral lists this ribosomal RNA (484 nucleotides) under uncultured bacterium. Its description in RNAcentral is "partial 16S ribosomal RNA". It matches the Rfam family "Bacterial small subunit ribosomal RNA", at positions 30 to 507 of the family's 1533-position model. The record is from RNAcentral.